Molecule: transfer RNA, 73 nt
Filed under: Bos taurus (domestic cattle)
Lineage: Eukaryota; Metazoa; Chordata; Mammalia; Artiodactyla; Bovidae
Also listed under: 5 other names
Rfam family: tRNA
About the family: Transfer RNA (tRNA) molecules are approximately 80 nucleotides in length. Their secondary structure includes four short double-helical elements and three loops (D, anti-codon, and T loops).
Source: Rfam by way of RNAcentral
UCCCUGGUGGACCAGUAGUUAGGACUCAGUACUUUCACUGCUGGGGAUGCAAGUUCAAUCCCUGGUCAGGGAA